GAUGAACGCUGGCGGCGUGCCUAAUACAUGCGAGUCGAGCGAACGGACGAGAAGCUUGCUUCUCUGAUGUUAGCGGCGGACGGGUAAGUAACACGUGGAUAACCUACCUAUAAGACUGGGAUAACUUCGGGAAACCGGAGCUAAUACCGGAUAAUAUUUUGAACCGCAUGGUUCAAAAGUGAAAGACGGUCUUGCUGUCACUUAUAGAUGGAUCCGCGCUGCAUUAGCUAGUUGGUAAGGUAACGGCUUACCAAGGCAACGAUGCAUAGCCGACCUGAGAGGGUGAUCGGCCACACUGGAACUGAGACACGGUCCAGACUCCUACGGGAGGCAGCAGUAGGGAAUCUUCCGCAAUGGGCGAAAGCCUGACGGAGCAACGCCGCGUGAGUGAUGAAGGUCUUCGGAUCGUAAAACUCUGUUAUUAGGGAAGAACAUAUGUGUAAGUAACUGUGCACAUCUUGACGGUACCUAAUCAGAAAGCCACGGCUAACUACGUG
RNAcentral lists this ribosomal RNA (497 nucleotides) under uncultured bacterium. RNAcentral describes it as "partial 16S ribosomal RNA". It matches the Rfam family "Bacterial small subunit ribosomal RNA", at positions 28 to 507 of the family's 1533-position model. The record is from RNAcentral.